RNAcentral lists this ribosomal RNA (4243 nucleotides) under Klebsiella pneumoniae. RNAcentral describes it as "bacterial LSU rRNA". The stretch from base 1402 to 4243 matches the Rfam family "Bacterial large subunit ribosomal RNA". Lineage: Bacteria; Pseudomonadati; Pseudomonadota; Gammaproteobacteria; Enterobacterales; Enterobacteriaceae. The record is from RNAcentral.
UUAAGCGACUAAGCGUACACGGUGGAUGCCCUGGCAGUCAGAGGCGAUGAAGGACGUGCUAAUCUGCGAAAAGCGUCGGUAAGGUGAUAUGAACCGUUAUAACCGGCGAUGUCCGAAUGGGGAAACCCAGUGCAAUUCGUUGCACUAUCGUUAACUGAAUACAUAGGUUAACGAGGCGAACCGGGGGAACUGAAACAUCUAAGUACCCCGAGGAAAAGAAAUCAACCGAGAUUCCCCCAGUAGCGGCGAGCGAACGGGGAGCAGCCCAGAGUCUGAAUCAGCUUGUGUGUUAGUGGAACGGUCUGGAAAGUCCGACGGUACAGGGUGAUAGUCCCGUACACCAAAAUGCACAGGCUGUGAACUCGAAGAGUAGGGCGGGACACGUGGUAUCCUGUCUGAAUAUGGGGGGACCAUCCUCCAAGGCUAAAUACUCCUGACUGACCGAUAGUGAACCAGUACCGUGAGGGAAAGGCGAAAAGAACCCCGGCGAGGGGAGUGAAAAAGAACCUGAAACCGUGUACGUACAAGCAGUGGGAGCACCUUCGGGUGUGACUGCGUACCUUUUGUAUAAUGGGUCAGCGACUUAUAUUCUGUAGCAAGGUUAACCGUAUAGGGGAGCCGCAGGGAAACCGAGUCUUAACUGGGCGUUAAGUUGCAGGGUAUAGACCCGAAACCCGGUGAUCUAGCCAUGGGCAGGUUGAAGGUUGGGUAACACUAACUGGAGGACCGAACCGACUAAUGUUGAAAAAUUAGCGGAUGACUUGUGGCUGGGGGUGAAAGGCCAAUCAAACCGGGAGAUAGCUGGUUCUCCCCGAAAGCUAUUUAGGUAGCGCCUCGUGAAUUCAUCUUCGGGGGUAGAGCACUGUUUCGGCUAGGGGGUCAUCCCGACUUACCAACCCGAUGCAAACUACGAAUACCGAAGAAUGUUAUCACGGGAGACACACGGCGGGUGCUAACGUCCGUCGUGAAGAGGGAAACAACCCAGACCGCCAGCUAAGGUCCCAAAGUCAUGGUUAAGUGGGAAACGAUGUGGGAAGGCACAGACAGCCAGGAUGUUGGCUUAGAAGCAGCCAUCAUUUAAAGAAAGCGUAAUAGCUCACUGGUCGAGUCGGCCUGCGCGGAAGAUGUAACGGGGCUAAACCAUGCACCGAAGCUGCGGCAGCGACACUAUGUGUUGUUGGGUAGGGGAGCGUUCUGUAAGCCUGCGAAGGUGACCUGUGAGGCAUGCUGGAGGUAUCAGAAGUGCGAAUGCUGACAUAAGUAACGAUAAAGCGGGUGAAAAGCCCGCUCGCCGGAAGACCAAGGGUUCCUGUCCAACGUUAAUCGGGGCAGGGUGAGUCGACCCCUAAGGCGAGGCCGAAAGGCGUAGUCGAUGGGAAACAGGUUAAUAUUCCUGUACUUGGUGUUACUGCGAAGGGGGGACGGAGAAGGCUAUGUUAGCCGGGCGACGGUUGUCCCGGUUUAAGCAUGUAGGCUGGUUAUCCAGNCUAUCGUUAACUGAAUACAUAGGUUAACGAGGCGAACCGGGGGAACUGAAACAUCUAAGUACCCCGAGGAAAAGAAAUCAACCGAGAUUCCCCCAGUAGCGGCGAGCGAACGGGGAGCAGCCCAGAGUCUGAAUCAGCUUGUGUGUUAGUGGAACGGUCUGGAAAGUCCGACGGUACAGGGUGAUAGUCCCGUACACCAAAAUGCACAGGCUGUGAACUCGAAGAGUAGGGCGGGACACGUGGUAUCCUGUCUGAAUAUGGGGGGACCAUCCUCCAAGGCUAAAUACUCCUGACUGACCGAUAGUGAACCAGUACCGUGAGGGAAAGGCGAAAAGAACCCCGGCGAGGGGAGUGAAAAAGAACCUGAAACCGUGUACGUACAAGCAGUGGGAGCACCUUCGGGUGUGACUGCGUACCUUUUGUAUAAUGGGUCAGCGACUUAUAUUCUGUAGCAAGGUUAACCGUAUAGGGGAGCCGCAGGGAAACCGAGUCUUAACUGGGCGUUAAGUUGCAGGGUAUAGACCCGAAACCCGGUGAUCUAGCCAUGGGCAGGUUGAAGGUUGGGUAACACUAACUGGAGGACCGAACCGACUAAUGUUGAAAAAUUAGCGGAUGACUUGUGGCUGGGGGUGAAAGGCCAAUCAAACCGGGAGAUAGCUGGUUCUCCCCGAAAGCUAUUUAGGUAGCGCCUCGUGAAUUCAUCUUCGGGGGUAGAGCACUGUUUCGGCUAGGGGGUCAUCCCGACUUACCAACCCGAUGCAAACUACGAAUACCGAAGAAUGUUAUCACGGGAGACACACGGCGGGUGCUAACGUCCGUCGUGAAGAGGGAAACAACCCAGACCGCCAGCUAAGGUCCCAAAGUCAUGGUUAAGUGGGAAACGAUGUGGGAAGGCACAGACAGCCAGGAUGUUGGCUUAGAAGCAGCCAUCAUUUAAAGAAAGCGUAAUAGCUCACUGGUCGAGUCGGCCUGCGCGGAAGAUGUAACGGGGCUAAACCAUGCACCGAAGCUGCGGCAGCGACACUAUGUGUUGUUGGGUAGGGGAGCGUUCUGUAAGCCUGCGAAGGUGACCUGUGAGGCAUGCUGGAGGUAUCAGAAGUGCGAAUGCUGACAUAAGUAACGAUAAAGCGGGUGAAAAGCCCGCUCGCCGGAAGACCAAGGGUUCCUGUCCAACGUUAAUCGGGGCAGGGUGAGUCGACCCCUAAGGCGAGGCCGAAAGGCGUAGUCGAUGGGAAACAGGUUAAUAUUCCUGUACUUGGUGUUACUGCGAAGGGGGGACGGAGAAGGCUAUGUUAGCCGGGCGACGGUUGUCCCGGUUUAAGCAUGUAGGCUGGUUGUCCAGGCAAAUCCGGAUAAUCAAGGCUGAGGUGUGAUGACGAGGCACUACGGUGCUGAAGUAACAAAUGCCCUGCUUCCAGGAAAAGCCUCUAAGCAUCAGGUAACAUCAAAUCGUACCCCAAACCGACACAGGUGGUCAGGUAGAGAAUACCAAGGCGCUUGAGAGAACUCGGGUGAAGGAACUAGGCAAAAUGGUGCCGUAACUUCGGGAGAAGGCACGCUGGUGUGUAGGUGAAGUCCCUGCGGAUGGAGCUGAGACCAGUCGAAGAUACCAGCUGGCUGCAACUGUUUAUUAAAAACACAGCACUGUGCAAACACGAAAGUGGACGUAUACGGUGUGACGCCUGCCCGGUGCCGGAAGGUUAAUUGAUGGGGUUAUCCGUAAGGAGAAGCUCUUGAUCGAAGCCCCGGUAAACGGCGGCCGUAACUAUAACGGUCCUAAGGUAGCGAAAUUCCUUGUCGGGUAAGUUCCGACCUGCACGAAUGGCGUAAUGAUGGCCAGGCUGUCUCCACCCGAGACUCAGUGAAAUUGAACUCGCUGUGAAGAUGCAGUGUACCCGCGGCAAGACGGAAAGACCCCGUGAACCUUUACUAUAGCUUGACACUGAACAUUGAGCCUUGAUGUGUAGGAUAGGUGGGAGGCUUUGAAGCGUGGACGCCAGUCUGCGUGGAGCCAACCUUGAAAUACCACCCUUUAAUGUUUGAUGUUCUAACGUUGGCCCCUUACCGGGGUUGCGGACAGUGUCUGGUGGGUAGUUUGACUGGGGCGGUCUCCUCCCAAAGCGUAACGGAGGAGCACGAAGGUUAGCUAAUCCUGGUCGGACAUCAGGAGGUUAGUGCAAUGGCAUAAGCUAGCUUGACUGCGAGCGUGACGGCGCGAGCAGGUGCGAAAGCAGGUCAUAGUGAUCCGGUGGUUCUGAAUGGAAGGGCCAUCGCUCAACGGAUAAAAGGUACUCCGGGGAUAACAGGCUGAUACCGCCCAAGAGUUCAUAUCGACGGCGGUGUUUGGCACCUCGAUGUCGGCUCAUCACAUCCUGGGGCUGAAGUAGGUCCCAAGGGUAUGGCUGUUCGCCAUUUAAAGUGGUACGCGAGCUGGGUUUAGAACGUCGUGAGACAGUUCGGUCCCUAUCUGCCGUGGGCGCUGGAGAAUUGAGGGGGGCUGCUCCUAGUACGAGAGGACCGGAGUGGACGCAUCACUGGUGUUCGGGUUGUCAUGCCAAUGGCACUGCCCGGUAGCUAAAUGCGGAAGAGAUAAGUGCUGAAAGCAUCUAAGCACGAAACUUGCCCCGAGAUGAGUUCUCCCUGAGACUUUAAGUCUCCUGAAGGAACGUUAAAGACGAUGACGUUGAUAGGCCGGGUGUGUAAGCGCAGCGAUGCGUUGAGCUAACCGGUACUAAUGAACCGUGAGGCUUAACCUU